AUCGAACGCUGGCGGAAUGCUUUACACAUGCAAGUCGAACGGCAGCACGGACUUCGGUCUGGUGGCGAGUGGCGAACGGGUGAGUAAUGUAUCGGAACGUGCCCAGUCGUGGGGGAUAACGUAGUGAAAAUUACGCUAAUACCGCAUACGAUCUAUGGAUGAAAGCGGGGGAUCGCAAGACCUCGCGCGAUUGGAGCGGCCGAUAUCAGAUUAGGUAGCUGGUGGGGUAAAGGCCCACCAAGCCAACGAUCUGUAGCGGGUCUGAGAGGACGACAAGGCAGACUGGAACUGGGACACGGUCCAGACUCCUACGGGGGGCAGCGGUGGGGAAUUUGGGCGAAUGGGCGAAGGCCUGAUCCAGCCAUUCCGCGUGCAGGAUGAAGGCCCUCGGGUUGUAAACUGCUUUUGUACAGAACGAAAAGGUUUCUACUAAUACUAGGAGCUCAUGACGGUACUGUAAGAAUAAGAACCGGCUAACUACGUGCCAGCCGCCGCCGUAA
RNAcentral lists this ribosomal RNA (500 nucleotides) under uncultured bacterium. RNAcentral's name for it is "partial 16S ribosomal RNA". It matches the Rfam family "Bacterial small subunit ribosomal RNA", at positions 30 to 523 of the family's 1533-position model. The record is from RNAcentral.